RNAcentral lists this ribosomal RNA (412 nucleotides) under uncultured bacterium. Its description in RNAcentral is "bacterial SSU rRNA". It matches the Rfam family "Bacterial small subunit ribosomal RNA", at positions 505 to 916 of the family's 1533-position model. The record is from RNAcentral.
GUGUCAGCCGCCGCGGUAAUACGGAGGGUGCAAGCGUUAAUCGGAAUUACUGGGCGUAAAGCGCACGCAGGCGGUCUGUCAAGUCGGAUGUGAAAUCCCCGGGCUCAACCUGGGAACUGCAUUCGAAACUGGCAGGCUAGAGUCUUGUAGAGGGGGGUAGAAUUCCAGGUGUAGCGGUGAAAUGCGUAGAGAUCUGGAGGAAUACCGGUGGCGAAGGCGGCCCCCUGGACAAAGACUGACGCUCAGGUGCGAAAGCGUGGGGAGCAAACAGGAUUAGAUACCCUGGUAGUCCACGCUGUAAACGAUGUCGAUUUGGAGGUUGUGCCCUUGAGGCGUGGCUUCCGGAGCUAACGCGUUAAAUCGACAGCCUGGGGAGUACGGCCGCAAGGUUAAAACUUAAAGGAAUUGACGG